AAUAAAUAUACGCUUAAUCCUUAAAGGGAACGGGGGAACCGAACUGUGCAUCUGCACUGGGGUGAAUCCUUAAAGUACUAGGUAGGACAACUCUUCGUCCGAAUCCGACAGCUAACCUCGUAUGCACUGGAGAGACUCAUC
RNAcentral lists this small RNA (141 nucleotides) under Bacillus sp. (in: firmicutes). RNAcentral's name for it is "Bacillus sp. c-di-AMP sequence". It matches the Rfam family "c-di-AMP riboswitch aptamer (ydaO/yuaA leader)". Rfam says of the family: This family represents a conserved RNA structure found upstream of the ydaO and yuaA genes in Bacillus subtilis and related genes in other bacteria. The ydaO/yuaA element is thought to act as a genetic "off" switch for the ydaO and yuaA genes in its native state. The record is from RNAcentral. Lineage: Bacteria; Bacillati; Bacillota; Bacilli; Caryophanales; Bacillaceae.